Molecule: long non-coding RNA, 434 nt
Organism: Nomia melanderi (Alkali bee)
Lineage: Eukaryota; Metazoa; Arthropoda; Insecta; Hymenoptera; Halictidae
Source: RefSeq, a predicted model, not a curated record
CUUUUCAUAAAUUUUGUAAAAUAUUCCAUAAAAAGGAGUAAAUUCUGACGAUAAUACUAAAUUAAUAACAUUGUCACGAAAAACCCGACUUAACGAUAAAAUGUUUGUGACUAAAUUGAGUAUAUAAAUGGUGAAAAUGUUCGUGGGUGUUAAUAGUUUCAAAAAACCUAAACAUAGCAGUAUGCAAGAGACAAUGAAAGCGACUUUUCUCUUACUGUCCAUGAUUUACCUCACAACAUUCUUUAUUGCAUCAUCUGAAGCGUACAUAAUUUGGGUACCUCCAAAUAGACCCCCACGGCCUCAGAACGGAUAAUGGUCCACUUCGUAAAACCAAAAUGUUGGAGUUGGUAUCAAGAAAGGCUUGCAGAUUGUAUUUAUCAUAAUAAGAAUAAUAUGUAACCUUACGAGACAUGAAAUAUAAUAGAUGAAGCAUA